This 496-nucleotide ribosomal RNA is filed under the name uncultured bacterium. Its description in RNAcentral is "partial 16S ribosomal RNA". It matches the Rfam family "Bacterial small subunit ribosomal RNA", at positions 28 to 506 of the family's 1533-position model. The record is from RNAcentral.
GAUGAACGCUGGCGGCGUGCCUAAUACAUGCAAGUCGAGCGAACAGACGAGGAGCUUGCUCCUCUGACGUUAGCGGCGGACGGGUGAGUAACACGUGGAUAACCUACCUAUAAGACUGGGAUAACUUCGGGAAACCGGAGCUAAUACCGGAUAAUAUAUUGAACCGCAUGGUUCAAUAGUGAAAGACGGUUUUGCUGUCACUUAUAGAUGGAUCCGCGCCGCAUUAGCUAGUUGGUAAGGUAACGGCUUACCAAGGCAACGAUGCGUAGCCGACCUGAGAGGGUGAUCGGCCACACUGGAACUGAGACACGGUCCAGACUCCUACGGGAGGCAGCAGUAGGGAAUCUUCCGCAAUGGGCGAAAGCUUGACGGAGCAACGCCGCGUGAGUGAUGAAGGUCUUCGGAUCGUAAAACUCUGUUAUUAGGGAAGAACAAAUGUGUAAGUAACUAUGCACGUCUUGACCGUACCUAAUCAGAAAGCCACGGCUAACUACGU